GAAUGGACCCCUGCCGGAGGGCAAAUUGGUUUGAUCCUCCUUGAAGCAGUAGAUCUGCAGCUGGGGACUCUUUCCUUGAGAUGCCACCCAAGCAAACUCCUCAGUGUUGAGAGCCCUCAUCUUAUAGAGCUUCACAGCUUAUUUGAAGUAGUCACUCAUUACUUCUCCAGCACAGAUGCAGGUUUUACAGCCCCACCUGGGACACCAUUCUGCAAUAUUACAGGCUUACACAAAAUGUCAAGAAAAAUCAAUGGGACAAAAUCAACUUGAAGAUGAAGACGGACAAUUUCCAUUGCAGUAAAAUGAAGUCAUGUAUUCAUACCUGAGAAUAUAAAUUGGCUCACUGAAAAAAAGACCACCAACAUUAUGACUUUGCAUGGACUAUAGAAAGUAAAGUAGAAGCUCUCACUCCUUUUCCAUAUUCCAUCAUUAAGGUUAACAUUCAGGCUCUGUAUCCAGUGCAUAAAAAGAGUUAAUUGGUUAAGAAGGCAAGAAGACUCUACAUGCUGCAAGACUCACCUAGAUGGGACAGUAGGAAUGGAAUUCAUCUGCCUUAUGCCUGAGCUAUCCACCCAUUAUAAUCACUAGAGAGAAAGAGAUACUUUCAGAGGCUAAUUCACCUGUCCUGUCUCAGCAUUUUAUCUUCUGAGAUGAAUCACCCCCUAAAGAUGAAAAUUUCUCUCCUUUGGAUGCAAAGCUUGACUGGAAUGACCUGCUAACUUUUAGACAGUGAAUCAGACAGAGGACACUUGGGCUUAAGGAUAUACUUGGGUUUAAGAAUAUACAUUAUGCUCUCAUGUGGAUACAUAGAAUUCACAGCUUUAAAAGCAGGACAGCAAUUAAUCCUUCUUCUAAAUGGUUUAAACAGAUUAGACUGAUAACUUCCGUUUUGAGUAAUCCAAGGGUCUGCCUCUUCUGUUAAAUAAAAUACUCUCAAGCCUGAAAUGCUGAUCAGAUCCACACAGCAUUUACAAACUAGAUCAGUCCCUUGAUCUUUUCUGGGGUGCUCCAAUGACUCUGCUGUCUCCAGGGGUAAGGUACCAGCCUCAAGGAUUCCUUGUCGUCAUUCUGACUACUUGCUAGUUGAUGAAACAAAAAAAUAAACUUGGAGCUGAUGUAAGGAUGACAAUCCCAUUACUGGAGCCACUUGGAAAGUCCCAGACUGGACUCAGCGAUGGACAGGAACUGAACUCAAAAACCGGAUUCAGGAAGACACAGAUCAGAAUCAAAGGCAGACAGACAGAGUCCUUCUCAGAUGCUAGCCAUUGAAGAAGAGAGGGCUGACCCUUUGAUCCCUCAGCUUUUAUACUGAGGAUGAUGCAGGUGGGAUGGAAUACUCUGUUGGUCAGUUUUGGAUCACCUCUCCUGUCUGCUCCUCCCCAUAGGUGAGAUCCCUCUACGCUUUUCUCCUGCUGACCCUCCAAUGGGGCAAAUAACAAAUUUAGCUGACCUCGGUUGUUAUAGCAAUAAGUAUAAGCAGGAGCCUCUCUGCAUACCAUUCCCUGGUAUUAGCUAUAAACAUCAGACAUUAUCUGCUAGAAGCAGACAUUGUUUGAAAAAUACACCGUUAAUUUCAGAGAGUUAGUUAGUUAGAAGAGACUUAACUGGAAAGUAAAAUUACUGAAAAGACAAUCGGUUCUGUUCUACCACAAACCAGGACAUCUUUGCAUUAGCCCAGCUUAAAGUAGUAUGAAACAUUUUUUCCUCUUUAUUUAGCAUUCCCAGAAGAUUUCUUGUUAUUAAUUUCUUAGUUCAGACUAAUUAGAAUAUAUUUCUCUAACAUCUCUCUGCUUUAGCUCAGCUUGCUUUUCAAUAUUAGCAAGUAGCACGUAUUUCAAUAAUAGUUUGGCCCUAUUAACUACUAUGGCUUCUUUUCAGUUGAGCAACAAUACACCUCUGAUUUAUUCUUUACAUUUUUCUUGUCCUUUUUCUUAAGUUAUAGCAUUUUAUUUCUUUUGUCUAUAUUCAUACGCAGUUCCUCUAGGCUGAGUGUCUUUAUUUUUCUUCCUCUGACAAAGAACUACCCAUAUCAUUUUCUUUUUCAUGUACUUCAUUAAGAACAACUAGUGUUGGCUUUUAAAGCACUAGCAUACAGCAACAAGUAAUUAUAAACAGUCAAGCUGCUUUGCCAAAGGACGGGAAUUGCUCUGUUAAACCAAAGAAAGAGACUAUGAGGGCAACUAGUACUGCAUAAGAAGGUUAUCUGUAAUAUUGCUUGAGAUCACUUCUACUAAAUCAAAGUGCUAGCAUUUUGGAACAAGGCAUUUGGCCUUCUACUUUCUCUGCUUUAUCCUCAAAGAAGAUGAAAACCAUGAAAGAUGAAACCCAGCACUCCUGCUAUGCGUACCGAUAGCUGAUUGCUUGGAAGUACAUCACAUGUCCCAGAAGUCAGACAAGUCAAUUCCAUUUAAUAAAUACUGAUAUGAGCUGAAGCUUUUCACAGAAGCCAUAUAUACUGUCUUUCAAAACAUCCCUCCAUCUCACCUUCAUGCAUUAUCAUCCCAGAUUCCUCAUUAAGAUGUUGAACCCUGCUCUGUUCCUAUUUUUUCUAACUAUCUUUCCUGUCCAUUGACAGCAGUGCCUUUUAAGACUGCAUGGAUAAACUAAACUCCUCCCAAUAAAAGCAGUUUUUGUAAAUUUCACAACUGCUUUGCCAUUUGCCAGUAAGAAUGUGAAAAUCUUCCCUUUAUCUAGUAAUAAUCUUUUGUUGUUUCUUGCUUGUCAUGAACUGCUGUCUUAUUCUGUUGUUCUCCAAGGUUUAGAUCUUAGAAGCAGCUCAGAAGCUCUCCUGAUUCAAAUGACACCGAGAUACAAAGCUCAAUAGAGAGAACUAAACACAGGCUCUGUAAGGCAGUGAUUACAUCAGACUCAGGUCCAACAAUGUUCCUUAUUUCCACACAUUUCCUCCAACAGUUGAAUCGAAGUAUAUGGAUUGGUGGCCCUAAUUGAGCAGGAAGGUUGGACCAAAUUACCUCUAGAGGUUGCUUCCAACUUCAGCUGUUCUAUGAUUCAGGGAUAUACCUGUUUGUUGACUCUGGGUUUGUGUGGCUUGACUAUAAAAAAAAAUCUGUCUUAAAGAAAAAUCAGUGAAAGACAAUCUUCUAGAUGACACUGGAUGAUAAGAAAAUGGGGGGUCUGGUUCUUCAAAGUAAAAAAUACUUCAGAAUAAAUUUCUGGAACAGAGAUGGAUUUUUCCCCUAGCUUGCUUUCUGUUGACAGUAAAUAACUGGUGAGACAUAAUUUUACUGGAGCUUUUGAAUGUGCUUUUCAGCCAGCACGUGAACUGCCUAUUACAAGUGUCCUCUGUAUUGGAACGCUUUCUGAAAAUGACUGGAUUCUUUCAGAAUCUAUUUUUAAGCUUUAUGGGUAUUUGAACUUGUAUCCACUCAGUCCAAUCAAUACCAGUGGGAUAUCCCACAAAACUUCCAAAAUGUGUCAUUCAACUGUGGUACACUCUAAUAAGAAAACUGCAGCAGAAGGCAUUUAAAUCAGUGCUAGCGUGGAAAAGGAGCAAGAGUACUAAAUAAUACUUGAUAUAAUAUGGCUGAUUUAUGGUGGAUUUGUUAAGUAUUUGUAUGAGCUGGUUCCUCUUUUUCUUCUCCAAUCAAAUUUUACCUAAACUGGAAAUAAGCUGGUAUUUUAGAUUUAUUGCUAGCAAAGAAUAAUCUGGGAUACAUGUAAAUAUUCUGUGCCAUUCCUACAAAGCCUGUAAAAUAAAACAGUAAAAACUGCAGAACUUUAAA
Molecule: long non-coding RNA, 3743 nt
Organism: Calidris pugnax (ruff)
Lineage: Eukaryota; Metazoa; Chordata; Aves; Charadriiformes; Scolopacidae
Exons: 7
Source: RefSeq, a predicted model, not a curated record